Molecule: unclassified non-coding RNA, 2171 nt
Filed under: Hevea brasiliensis (rubber tree)
Lineage: Eukaryota; Viridiplantae; Streptophyta; Magnoliopsida; Malpighiales; Euphorbiaceae
Source: RNAcentral
CAAAACACGACAGAAGAAUUCCUGGGAUUCAAAAAGCAAAAUUGGCACAAGUACAAAAACAUCCCCCCGAAUACAUUCAUCAUGGUAUUAUGCUAAAAAUAUAAUUUUUUUCAAUCAAUCAGAUUUGUUCAUUAGCUUAUAAGCUUCAGUGCAUUAACUGAAAUACUACUAAUUCAAGUUCAUUAGUUUACAGAUAUUAUUCCGGACUAGGAUUAAAACAAAAUUUUGACCGAUUUUCCAACAAUACACAAUUCGCCAAUCAACUGACACAGAAUAAAGCACAAAGUUGUUUUCACAGCUCAAGCUGAAGAGAAAUAAGCAUAAAAAAAAUGAAAUUCCUAAGAUAUAUCCAGGUGUACAGUAUAAAUAGGAUUACAAAUUUCAUUAGAAGUGAACUUCAAGAGACUCCUCGAGUUGCCAUCCAUUACAAGGCUGAAAAAGCUCUUCUUUUAUGUACAGUAGGCCAUCCAUCCAACAUGGUCUUCAGUAGACAUUAAACCAAGCAUCUCAGUUACUUCCGCGAUCGCACUUAACAAUUAAAGAAAAUUAUGGAACACCCAAUGAUACCUUAGAAUUUGCUCUUUUAAAGCAAAUGCUACAUGAUGACACAGACAUUUUCUCUCACAAAAUCAGAAGUCAAAUUCUCCUGUUGCCUUAUUAAAGAGAAUGUCCUUAUUGUUUAUGUGCAUGAUGCCAUCCUUGAGCGUGCAUUUCCACCGGCUCUUGGUACGAGUAACCUUAUCAAAUUGAGCCAAAACCAAAUGAUGUGUGUUCAUAUCCUCUCCUUGCUCCACAUCAUCCAGAUCAUCAUCAUCGUCAUCAUCUUCAACCCCAUCCUCCUCAUCAUCGCUAUCCUCAAUCUCAUGGACCUCCACCACAUCAUCAUCAUCUCCCUCCUCCUCAUCAAUUUCCUCUCCAGAUUCAUUUUCCUCCUCAUCGCCCUCCUCCUCAUCAUCUCCAACAUCUCUUCCCUCCACAGCGGCUACUCUAAAACCAUUCUGGUUUGGCCCAUUAAUCCGCCUUGCAGUCUCCGUCUCCUCCUCAUCUGCAUCACUUUCCUCAUCCUCAUCCACAUCAACAAUCCCUUCAACCCCUUCACUAUGCCCAUUAUUCAACCUGUAAGGCCUCUCCUCUCCAUCAAUCUCACCACUCCCAGGAUCAUCCUCCUCAUCCUCUUCUUCAUCCUCCUCCUCAUCAGAUUCAGGCCUCUCAUUCUCCUCUGCGUCCAUUUUAUCCAAAUACUUCAACGAUUUGAUCAAUCCAAAAACCCUAGAUCGAUAAUCCUUCACUCUGGUGACCGGACACUCAUACAGAUCGAGAGAAAUGAGCUUCAACUGAGCCAGUGGCGCAAGAUCUUCAAUAUAUUGGAUGCGAUUGUUCGACAAGUCAAGGUCCCGAAGAGAGUCGAGGCCAGCCUCAACGAGGAACUCGAGCCCGCCAGCGAUGCGAUUGUCAGAGAGUAUGAGCUUCUGAAGGUUCCUAAGGCGAGGGAACUGCUCAAGCGUCGAGACUCCUAUAUUAGCGAUGGAGAGGUGCUGAAGGUUCUCGAACUUCUCUAAAAGACUCGGUGGAGGAAGACGACCCUGCACGCACUUCACCGCGCCGUCUAGGGUUAGGCUUCGAGCCGCCGCGUUGUCCGUUUGGCCGUCUAAAGCUGUCUCCACUGCCCUCUCCCAGAUCUCAUCCAUCAAAUACGAAACCCUCUCUAUUAUACGCCAAUUAAAUUUCUCUGCACCUAUAAAAUGAAAAAUCUUUAUCCAAUAUAUCCCUCUCUAUAGAAAGAUUCAAAGCAUAAACACGUAAAUAAGAAAUUAAUCUGCACUCUAUGACACUAAACAGAUGAAACUUUUCAUAGCCAAACUGACGAAGAAAUUCGCGAAAGAAGCAAUAACCCUACCCAAAACAACAAUAAACAGCAAUCUGUUUGAACCGUUUAAAACCCUAAUUCCUUUUCAGAUGUAUGCUCUCUCUCUCACUAUCUCUCUCUCUCUCUCUCACUGUCUCUCUCUCUCUCGCGUGAUAAGUAGCAAAUUUGCUUCGAAGGAAAAAUACGGCUGGUUUCUACUUUCUCUCUCUUGUUUAUAUUCUGCGUUCCUAUUGGCUAUUAGCGGGCUACUCGAGGAUAAACGUUUGGCUCGUGGUUCGGGAGACUGGCUUGGGCUGGGCUAGGG